UCCUGGUUUCCCAGGCAGUCCCAUCAGAGUGCUUAUCCGAAGAUAGUGGCAACUGAUAGCAAGGGUUGCGCUCGUUAGAGGACUUAACCUAACGUCUCACGACACGAGCUGACGACAGCCAUGCAGCACCUGUGCAAUUGUCUAGACCGAAGCCUAGAAGACUGUAUUUCUACAGGUAUCAAAAACAUGUCAAGCCCAGGUAAGGUUCCUCGCGUAGUGUCGAAUUAAACCACAUGUUCCACCGCUUGUGCGGACCCCCGUCAAUUUCUUUAAGUUUUAGUCUUGCGACCGUAAUCCCCAGGCGAAUCACUUAACGCGUUAGCUACGACACCAAUCCGACUAGGUCGAACUGACGUCUAGUGAUCAUCGUUUACGGCGUGGACUAC
RNAcentral lists this unclassified non-coding RNA (386 nucleotides) under uncultured bacterium. Its description in RNAcentral is "contains 16S-23S intergenic spacer region". The record is from RNAcentral.